Molecule: ribosomal RNA, 453 nt
Filed under: uncultured bacterium
Lineage: Bacteria
Description: partial 16S ribosomal RNA
Rfam family: Bacterial small subunit ribosomal RNA
Source: RNAcentral
UAGGGAAUCUUCGGCAAUGGGGGCAACCCUGACCGAGCAACGCCGCGUGAGUGAAGAAGGUUUUCGGAUCGUAAAGCUCUGUUGUAAGUCAAGAACGGGUGUGAGAGUGGAAAGUUCACACUGUGACGGUAGCUUACCAGAAAGGGACGGCUAACUACGUGCCAGCAGCCGCGGUAAUACGUAGGUCCCGAGCGUUGUCCGGAUUUAUUGGGCGUAAAGCGAGCGCAGGCGGUUUGAUAAGUCUGAAGUUAAAGGCUGUGGCUCAACCAUAGUUCGCUUUGGAAACUGUCAAACUUGAGUGCAGAAGGGGAGAGUAGAACUCCAUGUGUAGCGGUGGAAUGCGUAGAUAUAUGGAAGAAUACCAGUGGCGAAGGCGGCUCUCUGGUCUGCAACUGACGCUGAGGCUCGAAAGCAUGGGUAGCGAACAGGAUUAGAUACCCUGGUAGUCCAUGC